AGCGAACGCUGGCGGCAGGCCUAACACAUGCAAGUCGAACGGCAGCACAGGAGAGCUUGCUCUCUGGGUGGCGAGUGGCGGACGGGUGAGGAAUACAUCGGAAUCUACUUUUUCGUGGGGGAUAACGUAGGGAAACUUACGCUAACACCGCAUACGACCUACGGGUGAAAGCAGGGGAUCUUCGGACCUUGCGCGAUUGAAUGAGCCGAUGUCGGAUUAGCUAGUUGGCGGGGUAAAGGCCCACCAAGGCGACGAUCCGUAGCUGGUCUGAGAGGAUGAUCAGCAACACUGGAACUGGGACACGGUCCAGACUCCUACGGGAGGCAGCAGUGGGGAAUAUUGGACAAUGGGCGCAAGCCUGAUCCAGCCAUACCGCGUGGGUGAAGAAGGCCUUCGGGUUGUAAAGCCCUUUUGUUGGGAAAGAAAUCCAGCUGGUUAAUACCCGGUUGGGAUGACGGUACCCAAAGAAUAAGCACCGGCUAACUUCGUGCCAGCAGCCGCCGUAA
Molecule: ribosomal RNA, 506 nt
Filed under: uncultured bacterium
Lineage: Bacteria
Description: partial 16S ribosomal RNA
Rfam family: Bacterial small subunit ribosomal RNA
Source: RNAcentral